AUACUUACUUAGACGUGGUCUAACGAGUGAUCAACAAUUCUUGUGGCCUAGAUCCGUGAUCUUCAUUGCACUUUGAAGGGGUGCUGGUCUACCAUCUGCCUCAGUAGUAGAGUGGACGUCAUAAUUUGUGAUAGGAGGUUCGCGUCCGCACGGCCCCUAC
This is a small nuclear RNA of Dendrobium catenatum, 160 nucleotides long. RefSeq annotates it as U1 spliceosomal RNA. The record is from RefSeq and is a predicted model, not a curated record. Lineage: Eukaryota; Viridiplantae; Streptophyta; Magnoliopsida; Asparagales; Orchidaceae. The transcript has a single exon.